Hippoglossus stenolepis (Pacific halibut) is the source of this 1942-nucleotide long non-coding RNA. RefSeq lists it as uncharacterized. The record is from RefSeq and is a predicted model, not a curated record. Lineage: Eukaryota; Metazoa; Chordata; Actinopteri; Pleuronectiformes; Pleuronectidae. The transcript is spliced from 2 exons.
GGAAAACAGGCACCUGUGUAUCAGGCGGCAACAGCAGCACUGGAUCCAAGGGGUCAGUCGAGAAAACAGGUAGCAAACUAACCUAAAGGUCAGUCAAACUUAUUUGGAAGAUAAAAAAUGAAGGUAAACAGUAAAACAUAUUAUCCAAACUCUCCCCUGUAAGCAUCCAUCAGAGCUUAUAAACUGACUGCUUGGUUGGUUCAACUUGACCUGCUGCAGGGCCGUAGCCAGGAUUUUAGAAAUACUAGGUUAGAGAGUCCAAGUCCUCAUAAAUCAUCCCCCCUAAACAUAAAAAAAGAAAGUUGAUGUUGUUUCAAAGACCUCUCCACCCUGCCAGGAGUAAAACACUGUAUGUUGUGGUAAAAGUAGUCCAAUUUAAAAAUAGCCGGUAUAAAAACUCUGGAAUCUGCCUAAAACGCUUUGGCUUCCAGCCACAUGGCUACAACAUUUUCACCUUUUCCUUACUAUUUUGUAUCAGUUUGUAAGUUUAAUAAAAUUCAUGAAAAAAUAUAUAUAGAAAAGAACCCUUAUAAAUGGCAUUUUUACUUUUUUAAUAAUUAGAUGCAGGGUGAUAUGUUUGUUAUGGCCUUUUCACAUUGCCCUAUCCACCUGUGUACAGGGAUCAAAAUGUAGUGUAGAAACAUUUUACACCUUAUCACUUCCUUGUAGAUUUUUAUCUCGGUUUGCCACAUGUUCUUUGUUUCAUUUGUUUUACUGACAACACAACGAGAAUUCAAACAGAAUAGCAGAGGCAUGUUACAGUUAGCUAAUGGGAGGGUUUAGAUUAUAUAGUAGUUUAAUCUUUGCAACUUUGACAGCAGUUAAAUGAUUUUAAUUAGCUUUUCUUCUGUUACAUAUUCGUAGCAGUUGGUUAAAAAAUUAAACCAGAUACAAACAAGCACGGUAUAGUUCCUAUAAAAUUAGGAUUAUAUUUAUGUUAUUGGAUUUUAUUCUGAUAUAACAACCAGUGGUUGAUUACAAUUUGGAAGGUGACAUUCCCACUUGGCCGCUUAUUGUUUAAACUCAGAGAUAGUGAAAGGUUUAACAUGCUUGCAGUGAUGAAAAAGGCCACAUUGAAUUGAUUCAAAUCAGCUGCAAGUAGCAUCAUCAUCAUCAUCAUCUGACAUCGGCCGUCUCACCAAAGAGUAGCAGGUCGAGCCAUCACAUGAGAGAGAGGCCCCGGGGGUGUUCGGCACUGAGCCAUGCUGACACACUACAUGCUGGAGGAGCACACCUGCUGGGUUGUGGUCUCUCUCUCCCUUUACUCCCCCACCCCCCUCAAGUCUAUACCCAACCCGGUUUCCUGGCAGUGUGGUGACAGAGCCGUUGGGCUGCGUCUUUUGUUUGCGUUCCCUCGCCUUCCUCUUUUCACCGAGUGCUCCGGCAGAGGAAAGAUAGUUGUGGCAGAGCUCCCCUCCCCCCGCCCCCAGCAUCCACGCCUCGGCACGGCGCUACAUGCCAAGCGACCUGAGACGCUCCCUGACUUGAAGUUCAAUCCACUGACUUUUAUUGGCGCGACUGUUUAUCACUAACACCGCAGCCAAAGCACGCACCACGGCAGUUUAUUCAUUCAAACCAUAAUGAGGUGUUAAGUUGUUUUGGUCUGAUGGACGCAUCAAUCAUUAUCCUCGCAGAUUCAAAACACAUGACCAUUUAUAUUAUAACUAACAAUGACAGCUUUAAGAGCAUGGAUUAUACAGUAGUACGCAAUAAUCAAUGUUUAUGAUAUUAAUGAGAGCUCUCAGUUUGAGAUCACGUAGUGUGUGCAUGUUUGCCAAAGAUUAUCGCAGCAACUGCCAACACUGACAGUGUGUAAAUGGUUUGUCUUUCUGGCUUCUAACUUCUUGCUGUUGGAUCCGAUGGUGCCGUGCUUGAUUAUUUUUGCUUUAUUUUUUUGUGCACAAUGUGGAUGCGUAUAAAUAAAUAAAAUUACUAAAAGUUU